GAAAAUAAUAAACAAUAUGGGUUUUGGUUGACAAAGAGGACACGUUCACCCCUUGAGCCAAUAUGUAGCUUUUAGAUCUUUUUUUAACAUGUAGAUGACCAUUCUAAAUGCUUGCUCAAUAAGCAAUAGAAACGCCUCUAUAUAAUGUACCAACAGCUGAAACCAAUGGUGCAUCACAACUAGGAGACUGAUCCCGGAAACCUUCACUGCUUCUGGCAAUUGAGUAAAUGCCUUUCAGACUUUCGGUGCCUUUUUUUUCUUUUUAUUUUUCU
This 272-nucleotide unclassified non-coding RNA is filed under the name Hevea brasiliensis (rubber tree). Lineage: Eukaryota; Viridiplantae; Streptophyta; Magnoliopsida; Malpighiales; Euphorbiaceae. The record is from RNAcentral.